Molecule: long non-coding RNA, 646 nt
Organism: Leptinotarsa decemlineata (Colorado potato beetle)
Lineage: Eukaryota; Metazoa; Arthropoda; Insecta; Coleoptera; Chrysomelidae
Source: RefSeq, a predicted model, not a curated record
UUCACUUUAUCUUCACUUCAGUAUCUGAACCUCUAAACAUCGUGUAUAAAGUGUAAAGUGUAUGCCAAAAUGUGCUCCCAACUAAGUCCAAAUUUCUCGUUAAUUAAGUGGCUAUAAAACUUGAAAGUUAGUUCCUUGUAUUGCUGAAGACUCAGCGGAACCAUUUAGUAUCUUCCCGUUCGAAUAUCUUGUCACAUGUACGAACAAGAUCUGUCGGAGAAUUGGUUCAAUUUUACUACCUUUGGAAAAAAUCUGAGAGGCAUGACAUUUUUGCUAACAAGGCUCGACUUGAGAAGAAAAAGUAUGCUUUGCACCCUGGCCUUACCGAUUUCAUGGACAGAUUCUUAGAAGACCAAGACAGCCGUGAUCGCAGUUCCUCCCCAAAUGUCCAAUGUGGUGGAAACGGUAAGGUACCUCCAGAUACCUGAUCUCUGUUGUAUAGUUAUUAAGUAUAUCAAAAACAAACAAUAAUUCAACCAUUCAAUGGUUCAAUUGGACAUAUUUGAAGCGACUGAUUUUUGUACAUAUAAAGUGUUAGUUUCUAUUUUGAUAUAUUAUUUAGGUUUUGUUUAUCAAAAUAUUGCAAACAAAAUUUUCACUGACUUGUUAUGUGUUAUUUAAUAUUUAUGAAUAAAUACUAUUUUUU